Molecule: non-coding RNA, 1297 nt
Organism: Camellia sinensis
Lineage: Eukaryota; Viridiplantae; Streptophyta; Magnoliopsida; Ericales; Theaceae
Source: RefSeq, a predicted model, not a curated record
AAAAAUUAAAAAAGGUCAAUUUCUCAGGAAAGAAAGCAGAGCCUCUCUUUUUAGAUUCCACAGAGAGAAAGCUCUCCCAUGGUUUCUCGUGGUAUCUGGUGCUGUCCUGGUCAGUUGUAAACUCCUCCACCAUUGGAUUUUUGUGUGAGUGAGUAUGUUGGUGUCUGAUUAUGUAUUUAUGGUGUCUACUAUGUUUGAGUUUUGUUUUAUUUUCAUGGUGUUUUUUCACCUUGAGAAACUGUUCCAACCGGUAUUGUUGCUUGUCGUAUUUCUGGGCUUCUGAUGAGUGUUGAAGAGCUGGUCCUUGUGGUUUGCUCAUAAGUUCCUUGCUAGUCAUGGUCAUCUUCGAGUUACAGUUGUCAGGCUUGGAUUAUCUUUUGUUUUGGAGUGGGGCUCUUGGCUGGGCUCUUCUGUGUUCUAGAGAGAGAAGGACGAAGUUUAUGGGUGUGUUAUCUGGCCUGAGUUGCCUUGUCUCCGGCGUGAAUUGCUUGGAGUGACAAGGGUCCCCUUGUGAUAUUUUCUGCUCUGGUUAUGUUCCCUUCCGGGGUUGGUCUCGCCGGCGUGAUUGUGCGGUGUGUUGCUGCCUUGGUCUACUCCGCGGGUUUAGUGGUUUUUACCCACAUGGCCGUGGUGGGUUUAUAUGGAGAUUAGUUUUGCUGAAGCAUGGUUGUGCUGUAUCAGAGGAUCUCAAACGUAUUGGAUCAUGGGCCUCAUCUGUCCUACUGUUUUUUUGAAGGGCUACAAAUAUCUGUACUGCCGAGUUUGGUGGGCUUUGAAAAUUGAUGUGGGUUCUACUAAGUGGGGCCCAUGGCACAAGUUUAAGAAGCAAGGAGUCACUGGUUGUGGCCACGUUUUGUUUAAAAUUAUUGGGCUGCUUUCAUAGCCCAAUUCAUGGUAUUUUUGUUUGGGCUAGUAUAUUUAACGCCCUAGUGAGUUAGGAUGUUAACCGUGGGCUUUUUGCCAGCCACGGUUUUGCUGAAAAUUGGUGUGGGUUGUUCUAUCUAUCUUUUGUAUAUUUGUCCAUAUAUUUUCCCCAAAUAUCUAUUUAUUAUUUUAUGAUAGAGGGUACUUGGGAAUAAAAAAGGAUAUAUGGACAAUUUUGCUUUUUAUGUAUGUGUUCUUUUGUGGGGGUAUCCUGCUGUCGCGGGAGUGUUUUAAUUAUUUUAUUAGUUUCCAUUUUUGGGCGGUUAUGAGAUUUGUUGUAUUAGUUGGGGUAUGUCCUUUGUAAAUGUGUAAGUUUGUGUUUGAUAGGAUUUUGUAAUUAUGAUUUGAGUGUAUGAAUUGUAUUUUAAGUUUG